RNAcentral lists this long non-coding RNA (718 nucleotides) under Mus musculus (house mouse). RNAcentral's name for it is "long non-coding RNA chr4:145390942-145391660". The record is from RNAcentral. Lineage: Eukaryota; Metazoa; Chordata; Mammalia; Rodentia; Muridae.
AUAAAGAAAACUUCAAGAGAAAGCGAGAGCCUGAUGGGCACUGGGCGACUCUGUGCCUCAUGGAAGAAAAUCAACUAACUAAAUGUGGGCAAAGGAGAUCCGAAGAAGCUGAGAGGCAAAAUGUCCUCAUAUGCUUUAUGUUUGCAAACCUUCUGAGAGUAGCAUAAGAAGAAGCACCCGGAUGCUUCUGUCAACUUCUCAGAGUUCUCCAAGAAGCGCUCAGAGAGGUGGAAGACCAUGGCUGCUAAAGAAAAGGGGAAAUUUGAAGUUAUGCGGAAGGCGGACAAGACUCAUUAUGAAAGAGAAAUGAAAACCUACAUCCCCCCAAAGGAGAGACCAAAAAGAAGUCCAAGGACCCAAAUGCACCCAAGAGGCCUCCCUCAGCUUUCUUCUUUUUCAGUUCUGAGUACCACUCCAAAAUCAAAGGCGAGUACCCUGGCUUAUUUAUUGGUGAUGCUGCAAAGAAACUACGAGAGAUGUGAAACAACACUGCUGUGUAUGACAAGCAUCCCUAUGAGAAGAAGGCUGUCAAACUGAAGGAGAAGUACAAGAAGGAUAUUGCUGCCUACAAAGCUAAAGGAAAACCUGAUGCAGUAAAAAAGGAGGUGGUCAAGGAUGAAAAGAGCAAGAAAAGAAGGAGGAGGGAGAUGAUGAUGAGGAUGAGGAAGAGGAGGAAGAAGAAUUAGACGAAGAUGAAGAAGAUAAUAAUGAUGAAUAA